UUAUUUGCGCAGUGGCAGUAUCAUAGCCCAUGAGGUUAAACUGAGGCAUGAUUAUUGCUAGUUGAAAACUUUUCCCAACUAAAAUUAAAUGAGGCACAUUCAUUUAGUUACUAAGUC
RNAcentral lists this small nuclear RNA (117 nucleotides) under Sphenodon punctatus (tuatara). RNAcentral's name for it is "U4 spliceosomal RNA (ENSSPUG00000002181.1)". It matches the Rfam family "U4 spliceosomal RNA". From Rfam's summary of the family: U4 small nuclear RNA (U4 snRNA) is a component of the major U2-dependent spliceosome. The structure of U4 snRNA from yeast and human has been reported. Lineage: Eukaryota; Metazoa; Chordata; Lepidosauria; Sphenodontia; Sphenodontidae. The record is from RNAcentral.